UUCGAGGGUGUCUCCUCCCCUUCUCGGGGGGAAAGAGAUGCUCUGGAACCCAACGAAACCCUUGACCUCAAAUCGGGUGAGACUACCCGCUGAACUUAAGCAUAUC
This 106-nucleotide ribosomal RNA is filed under the name Lactarius austrozonarius. Its description in RNAcentral is "partial 28S ribosomal RNA". Lineage: Eukaryota; Fungi; Basidiomycota; Agaricomycetes; Russulales; Russulaceae. The record is from RNAcentral.